Molecule: unclassified non-coding RNA, 339 nt
Filed under: Hevea brasiliensis (rubber tree)
Lineage: Eukaryota; Viridiplantae; Streptophyta; Magnoliopsida; Malpighiales; Euphorbiaceae
Source: RNAcentral
GUGUUUGUUCUCUAAUGGUGAAUCAAAGGUGUUCGAUGAUAUUCCUAAAUAACCUAACUAUUUUGCAAGAAUUCUCAUUGUUUCUUUUUCGCUGUUAGCCAGGAAAUUUUAGUCUUCGAUUUCACAAUCUUGACGAUCUUCGGCAAUCUCCAAACAAAAUUACUACCAAAAUGUGCUCAUUAAAGGCAGCACCUGCAGUUGCAAAACACAUUUCAACAUCUCAGACAAGAGUAACAUGUUCGAGGUCUGUAGUUUAUGUCUAAUUUUCAUCUUCAUUUUAAUUGCAGAAUAGAUACAGAGGAUUCAUAAAUGUCCAACCCCAACUAUGUUGAGGUGCGG